Molecule: long non-coding RNA, 630 nt
Filed under: Gossypium barbadense (sea-island cotton)
Lineage: Eukaryota; Viridiplantae; Streptophyta; Magnoliopsida; Malvales; Malvaceae
Description: long non-coding RNA (GBAR_LNC020405)
Source: RNAcentral
GUAAAGCCCAAAAUCUGCCCGGGCCCAUACCAGCAAACCCCCCCACUUGCCCACUUGCGCCGUUGCCCCAUGUGCGCAACCAUUCAACCUCGCACGCCUCUGCUCCGCGCCAGCCUCCACGCAUGCCCAUCACCGUCUGCACCCCAUGCCUCUGUCACCUCCAUCGUGCCCAUCCCAUGCAAAGAGACAAAACAGAAACAAUAGGAAAUUAGAUGAAAAUGGGUUAUAAAAACCCGAAUCAAAAAUUGUACAGGGGGCUUUUUUUUUCUUUCUUCUUCUUUUCUACUUUGUAAACACUAAAGAGAAAUUUAGAGUCUUCAAUAAACAGAUAGCAGUGAUUGUUAAAAACAAAAAGAAAAAACAAAAGGUUGUAUUUUUUUCUUUGUUCCUUUCGAUUUUUACAUACAUAUACAUAUAUUUCUUUAUUUUCUAUCUAUUUAACAUAAAAAUAUACAACAAAUAAAAAAAACAAAAAAAUAAAUUUUUUACCUUUUCCGGCCACCGCGUGCGGUGGCCGUCGCCGGCGCUGGCGAGCCUCCGGUGGCCGUCCGGUGACCGGCCCCCUGGCCGGAUUUUCCUUCCCCCCUCCCUUCUCUCUUCCUUCUCUCUUCCCUCUCUCUUCUUUUUUUU